CUGGCCGAACUUCCGUUCCUCCAUCCUAUUGCACUGUGACCGCUGUGGCCAGGUCAGGCCCUAGAGGACGGAAUCACCCUAUAUGAUAACACCACACGGUGCGCUCUUUCCCAUUUCACAGAUGAGGUGGGAUGCCCCUUCAGGCUGUCUUGGACCAUGUUGAAAUGUACCCACAUGGAGUCAGUCACUUUAGGAUAUAAAAGCAGACUUCUGACAGUACACGUCAUCCCUAACCCUGCAAGCACAUCUCAGAGGCAGUUGGUCUUCCACUGUGAGACAGAAUGAAGAAGGGCUUCUUCCUACAGUUCAGUAGAGGAGCCAGUCCAGGAAGAACAAAGCCAGCCCCAGGGUAAAGGAUUUUUUCAAGAGCCUCCUCUGCCUAGGAUUCUUUUACGUGGUCACCCAUCAGGGAAGCCAGAGGUAUUAAGCUUCAGCCUUUCUUCAUAGUGGGCACCAUUUGAGGGAACAGCUGUGAAGUCUUACCUGCCUCACCUCUGGUCUUGACACACCUUAGAUGGGCUAAGGGUCAAAGAUGACUCCAAAGAUCUUAAGGAGACCAAGAAGGCCCAGGGAAGGUGGGGCCCACCUGCUUGCCUGAGUGACUUCUGUGCUCUAGACUGUUGUGGACCUCAGCCCCACUCACCCUGACCUUUAGAGAAAUGAAACUACCUUUGCAUGAGAGGAAGCAGCGGAAUUGCUUCAAGUGUGAUUGCAACCCCCCAGACACCACAAACUAGUCCUUCAUCACCAUCUGGAAGAAGAUCCCACAGGAAACAGCUGACGCUGAACUGUGCAAGAAUAUGCUGGGUCUGCGGAGAAGCUGAGACUCAGAGCUGGCAAACAGCAGGGCCAAAUGACAAUAGAGCCAACUCUCCCAUGAAACAGUAGCUUGCAGGCUCAGAUGUUUUUGAAAGGCAGGUAAAAGACCAUGUCUCUCUUU
Molecule: long non-coding RNA, 940 nt
Organism: Peromyscus leucopus (white-footed mouse)
Lineage: Eukaryota; Metazoa; Chordata; Mammalia; Rodentia; Cricetidae
Exons: 2
Source: RefSeq, a predicted model, not a curated record